Long non-coding RNA from Cydia splendana, 743 nucleotides. RefSeq lists it as uncharacterized. NCBI's taxonomy places the organism in Eukaryota, Metazoa, Arthropoda, Insecta, Lepidoptera, Tortricidae. The transcript is spliced from 2 exons. The record is from RefSeq and is a predicted model, not a curated record.
CCGCUUAUCUAGAUGACAAACUAAAUAGUUCAAAAAACCAAUAAGUAUAGGUUUUUCAAUAUAAUUUUUACUGUUAUAGUACUAUCCACUCAAUAUUUAAAUCAUAUUUACUGAGGUCUACAUACUUAUAAUUUUUUAGCACUGCCAUCUACCGCUUAGAUCUAAGAUUGAAUCUAGGAUGAACUUACAAUAAGCCAUAAACAAGCAUUUUAGUUACCUCGCAGUACAAAUCAUAUAUCGUAAUCUAUGUAUAUUCAUAAGUCAUAACAGUUCUGGUUCUCUUUCAGGUUGACUAAGUUGCGUCGUAGUUUCGAUUAUCAAACACAGAUGGCGUUGAUAUCAAUAGCUGCCUUCUUUUUUCUGAUGUGGAAGAAUAUAAUCAUCGGUUGUUCAAUACUCGUAAGUUUACUUUUGACGCCAACGCGCUCACUGUCACACUUUAGUUUGACGUCGAGUAGGUUUUGCCUUUUAUUUGUAAACAAACAAUAAAAGUUAACCUAGUACCAAGUACCCAACACAGAUGGCGUUGUAAUCAAGCUGAGAGUUCAAUUAAGCUACACUUGCGGGUCAAUACUCGUGGGAGAUGACCUGCUGCUGCGGUCACUCUUCGUCGGACUGUCAAACGCGCCAACCGGAGGCCGAGCGGGUGUUGCCGUUGGUCUGCAGCUCAGAGUCGUGGUGGCUAACGGGUUGCCGGUUCCGUGGUGUCUUGCGGAGGUUUGACACGAAUGUGAACUGGAAUU